This 40-nucleotide small RNA is filed under the name Arabidopsis thaliana (thale cress). Its description in RNAcentral is "ATSL241930". The record is from RNAcentral. Lineage: Eukaryota; Viridiplantae; Streptophyta; Magnoliopsida; Brassicales; Brassicaceae.
AAGGAUGGCUACAAUUCUUGCUUACCUACCAAAGCCUCAA